AGUUGCUGAGAAGGGGGCAAGCCCAGGAAAUUGUGGCCAUGUCUGUGGAUACUGCAGCGAGUGAGAUGACUCCUGCAAGGUUCUGAGCCAGCAGGGGGAAAGCUCAAGAAGCAGGAGAAAGUGAGGAAAGCUCUCCAGGCGGGGAGGCCUGGGAGAGACUGCCAACGCCCAAUGGGAAAGGCCUGUGGAGGAGGUCAAAGAAGAGGUGCUGGGAAGCAGGAAGACAGUCCCUCGGGGAGGUAGGGCUGUGCCCAGCUGAAGUUGGGAUGAAGACAGGAUGGGAAGGAUCCUUUAGAGAUAGAACCAGCUCAGUGGAUGGCCAUUGAGAGUUACAACAGAACCUCUCUCUGCUGUCAUUCACUAUCUCUCACCCCAUGAAGAUCAGAUAGGAAAAUCCAGGUACUUACGAGUGAUGGUCACUUGAGUUCCGACUCCUGACACAGACGAGUUCCUCACUGUGCUCCCCACCUCACACA
Dermochelys coriacea (leatherback sea turtle) is the source of this 476-nucleotide long non-coding RNA. RefSeq lists it as uncharacterized. The record is from RefSeq and is a predicted model, not a curated record. The transcript is spliced from 3 exons. Lineage: Eukaryota; Metazoa; Chordata; Testudines; Dermochelyidae.